GGGUUGUGAGGUUAAGCGACUAAGCGUACACGGUGGAUGCCCUGGCAGUCAGAGGCGAUGAAGGACGUGCUAAUCUGCGAUAAGCGUCGGUAAGGUGAUAUGAACCGUUAUAACCGGCGAUUUCCGAAUGGGGAAACCCAGUGUGAUUCGUCACACUAUCAUUAACUGAAUCCAUAGGUUAAUGAGGCGAACCGGGGGAACUGAAACAUCUAAGUACCCCGAGGAAAAGAAAUCAACCGAGAUUCCCCCAGUAGCGGCGAGCGAACGGGGAGCAGCCCAGAGCCUGAAUCAGUGUGUGUGUUAGUGGAAGCGUCUGGAAAGGCGUGCGAUACAGGGUGACAGCCCCGUACACAAAAAUGCACAUACUGUGAGCUCGAUGAGUAGGGCGGGACACGUGGUAUCCUGUCUGAAUAUGGGGGGACCAUCCUCCAAGGCUAAAUACUCCUGACUGACCGAUAGUGAACCAGUACCGUGAGGGAAAGGCGAAAAGAACCCCGGCGAGGGGAGUGAAAAAGAACCUGAAACCGUGUACGUACAAGCAGUGGGAGCACGCUUCGGCGUGUGACUGCGUACCUUUUGUAUAAUGGGUCAGCGACUUAUAUUCUGUAGCAAGGUUAACCGAAUAGGGGAGCCGAAGGGAAACCGAGUCUUAACUGGGCGUUAAGUUGCAGGGUAUAGACCCGAAACCCGGUGAUCUAGCCAUGGGCAGGUUGAAGGUUGGGUAACACUAACUGGAGGACCGAACCGACUAAUGUUGAAAAAUUAGCGGAUGACUUGUGGCUGGGGGUGAAAGGCCAAUCAAACCGGGAGAUAGCUGGUUCUCCCCGAAAGCUAUUUAGGUAGCGCCUCGUGAAUUCAUCUCCGGGGGUAGAGCACUGUUUCGGCAAGGGGGUCAUCCCGACUUACCAACCCGAUGCAAACUGCGAAUACCGGAGAAUGUUAUCACGGGAGACACACGGCGGGUGCUAACGUCCGUCGUGAAGAGGGAAACAACCCAGACCGCCAGCUAAGGUCCCAAAGUCAUGGUUAAGUGGGAAACGAUGUGGGAAGGCCCAGACAGCCAGGAUGUUGGCUUAGAAGCAGCCAUCAUUUAAAGAAAGCGUAAUAGCUCACUGGUCGAGUCGGCCUGCGCGGAAGAUGUAACGGGGCUAAACCAUGCACCGAAGCUGCGGCAGCGACACUGUGUGUUGUUGGGUAGGGGAGCGUUCUGUAAGCCUGUGAAGGUGUACUGUGAGGUAUGCUGGAGGUAUCAGAAGUGCGAAUGCUGACAUAAGUAACGAUAAAGCGGGUGAAAAGCCCGCUCGCCGGAAGACCAAGGGUUCCUGUCCAACGUUAAUCGGGGCAGGGUGAGUCGACCCCUAAGGCGAGGCCGAAAGGCGUAGUCGAUGGGAAACAGGUUAAUAUUCCUGUACUUGGUGUUACUGCGAAGGGGGGACGGAGAAGGCUAUGUUGGCCGGGCGACGGUUGUCCCGGUUUAAGCGUGUAGGCUGGUUUUCCAGGCAAAUCCGGAAAAUCAAGGCUGAGGCGUGAUGACGAGGCACUACGGUGCUGAAGCAACAAAUGCCCUGCUUCCAGGAAAAGCCUCUAAGCAUCAGGUAACAUCAAAUCGUACCCCAAACCGACACAGGUGGUCAGGUAGAGAAUACCAAGGCGCUUGAGAGAACUCGGGUGAAGGAACUAGGCAAAAUGGUGCCGUAACUUCGGGAGAAGGCACGCUGAUAUGUAGGUGAAGCGACUUGCUCGUGGAGCUGAAAUCAGUCGAAGAUACCAGCUGGCUGCAACUGUUUAUUAAAAACACAGCACUGUGCAAACACGAAAGUGGACGUAUACGGUGUGACGCCUGCCCGGUGCCGGAAGGUUAAUUGAUGGGGUCAGCGCAAGCGAAGCUCUUGAUCGAAGCCCCGGUAAACGGCGGCCGUAACUAUAACGGUCCUAAGGUAGCGAAAUUCCUUGUCGGGUAAGUUCCGACCUGCACGAAUGGCGUAAUGAUGGCCAGGCUGUCUCCACCCGAGACUCAGUGAAAUUGAACUCGCUGUGAAGAUGCAGUGUACCCGCGGCAAGACGGAAAGACCCCGUGAACCUUUACUAUAGCUUGACACUGAACAUUGAGCCUUGAUGUGUAGGAUAGGUGGGAGGCUUUGAAGUGUGGACGCCAGUCUGCAUGGAGCCGACCUUGAAAUACCACCCUUUAAUGUUUGAUGUUCUAACGUGGACCCGUGAUCCGGGUUGCGGACAGUGUCUGGUGGGUAGUUUGACUGGGGCGGUCUCCUCCUAAAGAGUAACGGAGGAGCACGAAGGUUGGCUAAUCCUGGUCGGACAUCAGGAGGUUAGUGCAAUGGCAUAAGCCAGCUUGACUGCGAGCGUGACGGCGCGAGCAGGUGCGAAAGCAGGUCAUAGUGAUCCGGUGGUUCUGAAUGGAAGGGCCAUCGCUCAACGGAUAAAAGGUACUCCGGGGAUAACAGGCUGAUACCGCCCAAGAGUUCAUAUCGACGGCGGUGUUUGGCACCUCGAUGUCGGCUCAUCACAUCCUGGGGCUGAAGUAGGUCCCAAGGGUAUGGCUGUUCGCCAUUUAAAGUGGUACGCGAGCUGGGUUUAGAACGUCGUGAGACAGUUCGGUCCCUAUCUGCCGUGGGCGCUGGAGAACUGAGGGGGGCUGCUCCUAGUACGAGAGGACCGGAGUGGACGCAUCACUGGUGUUCGGGUUGUCAUGCCAAUGGCACUGCCCGGUAGCUAAAUGCGGAAGAGAUAAGUGCUGAAAGCAUCUAAGCACGAAACUUGCCCCGAGAUGAGUUCUCCCUGAGACUAUAAGUCUCCUGAAGGAACGUUGAAGACGACGACGUUGAUAGGCCGGGUGUGUAAGCGCAGCGAUGCGUUGAGCUAACCGGUACUAAUGAACCGUGAGGCUUAACCUUACAACGCCGAAGCUGUU
Molecule: ribosomal RNA, 2929 nt
Filed under: Escherichia coli
Lineage: Bacteria; Pseudomonadati; Pseudomonadota; Gammaproteobacteria; Enterobacterales; Enterobacteriaceae
Description: 23S ribosomal RNA
Rfam family: Bacterial large subunit ribosomal RNA
Source: RNAcentral